GACGAACGCUGGCGGCGUGCCUAACACAUGCAAGUCGAGCGAGGAUUAGUGAAAGUGGCUUGCCACAGAUUUAAUCCUAGCGGCGGACGGGUGAGUAACGCGUGGGUAACCUACCUUAAACAGGGGGAUAACACCGGGAAACCGGUGCUAAUACCGCAUAACAUUAUUGUAUAGCAUUAUAUAAUAAUCAAAGGAGAAAUCCGGUAUAAGAUGGACCCGCGUCCGAUUAGCUAGUUGGUAAGGUAAUAGGCUUACCAAGGCGACGAUCGGUAGCCGAACUGAGAGGUUGAUCGGCCACAUUGGGACUGAGACACGGCCCAGACUCCUACGGGAGGCAGCAGUGGGGAAUAUUGCGCAAUGGGGGAAACCCUGACGCAGCAACGCCGCGUGAAGGAUGAAGGCUUUCGGGUUGUAAACUUCUUUGAUUGGGAAGAAAAAAUGACGGUACCCAAAAAACAAGCCACGGCUAACUACGUAG
Molecule: ribosomal RNA, 478 nt
Filed under: uncultured bacterium
Lineage: Bacteria
Description: bacterial SSU rRNA
Rfam family: Bacterial small subunit ribosomal RNA
Source: RNAcentral